GCCUGGGUGGCUCAGUCAGUUAAGCGUCUGACUUCAGCUCAGGUCAUGAUCUCAAAGUUUGUGGGUUUGAACCCUGCAUCAGGCU
This is a transfer RNA of Felis catus (domestic cat), 85 nucleotides long. It matches the Rfam family "tRNA". From Rfam's summary of the family: Transfer RNA (tRNA) molecules are approximately 80 nucleotides in length. Their secondary structure includes four short double-helical elements and three loops (D, anti-codon, and T loops). The record is from Rfam. Lineage: Eukaryota; Metazoa; Chordata; Mammalia; Carnivora; Felidae.